AGGCGUCGCAGUUUUUAAUUGCUCAUUCCGAGGUAUAGUCUACCUUACAGACUGCAAAGCGUUGGGAUCAUAUUAAGUAGGCUACAAAGAGGUGCGUGUUUAACCGUUCCUACCAGGACUUGAGAAGUUGUACAAUGAAGUUUGUGUUGUUAUUGGUUGCUGUGGGGAUGUGCGUUUCACUUUAUGGGUCUCCGCUGUCGAGACGAGAAGAGAAUCCUUGCGACGACGAAACGUGCGGAGCUAACUGCCAUUACCACAGCUGGGGGUAUUUCUGUAAUGGCUACUGCAGCAAAGAGCCUGAGCUUGUGGGUGAGAAUUACAGCGGCUCCGGCGUAUGUAUCUGUCAAGUCGAAGAAGAUUGUCAACGGGUACUGAAUCGCACGAGGCGGGACAUAUCUUGGUAAUAUACAAAAAAGUGUUUUAGAUACCAGAGCACUGCCACUGUUAUUCUAAUGAGUUAGCCUUGCAGUUGCAAUUACGAAUUAUUCAGAUUAUUUCAAAUGCAUUCUACUGACAUAACGGACACUGAUAUAUGGCUGUCAAACUCUAUUACUGCUCCCAUCAGAUUGUUGGUGGUGAUGCUUGUUUUUACCUGAUUAAGACUGACAUUUUGACAACAUAACUGCCUUCCCCUGGACGCUGAAACAAAGAACGAAAAGAACGAAAGAACGCUGAUAGGUUGAAUUUGUCAAAGUUUUCUAUUUAUUCCCGUGAAUAAUAUGCAUUGAAACACUGCCAUCUGAUUCCAAAGUAAAAAUAUUUGUGACAAUAAAACUAUUCUUAAAUUAAGAGGA
Long non-coding RNA from Lingula anatina, 794 nucleotides. The record is from RefSeq and is a predicted model, not a curated record. Lineage: Eukaryota; Metazoa; Brachiopoda; Lingulata; Lingulida; Lingulidae.